GACGAACGCUGGCGGCGUGCCUAAUACAUGCAAGUAGAACGCUGAAGGAGGAGCUUGCUUCUCUGGAUGAGUUGCGAACGGGUGAGUAACGCGUAGGUAACCUGCCUGGUAGCGGGGGAUAACUAUUGGAAACGAUAGCUAAUACCGCAUAAUAGUAGAUGUCGCAUGACAUUUGCUUAAAAGGUGCAAUUGCAUCACUACCAGAUGGACCUGCGUUGUAUUAGCUAGUUGGUGAGGUAACGGCUCACCAAGGCAACGAUACAUAGCCGACCUGAGAGGAUGAUCGGCCACACUGGGACUGAGACACGGCCCAGACUCCUACGGGAGGCAGCAGUAGGGAAUCUUCGGCAAUAGACGGAAGUCUGACCGAGCAACGCCGCGUGAGUGAAGAAGGUUUUCGGAUCGUAAAGCUCUGUUGUAAGAGAAGAACGAGUGUGAGAGUGGAAAGUUCACACUGUGACGGUAUCUUACCAGAAAGGGACGGCUAACUACGUG
RNAcentral lists this ribosomal RNA (495 nucleotides) under uncultured bacterium. Its description in RNAcentral is "partial 16S ribosomal RNA". It matches the Rfam family "Bacterial small subunit ribosomal RNA", at positions 28 to 507 of the family's 1533-position model. The record is from RNAcentral.